Molecule: ribosomal RNA, 2904 nt
Filed under: Klebsiella variicola
Lineage: Bacteria; Pseudomonadati; Pseudomonadota; Gammaproteobacteria; Enterobacterales; Enterobacteriaceae
Description: 23S ribosomal RNA
Rfam family: Bacterial large subunit ribosomal RNA
Source: RNAcentral
GGUUAAGCGACUAAGCGUACACGGUGGAUGCCCUGGCAGUCAGAGGCGAUGAAGGACGUGCUAAUCUGCGAAAAGCGUCGGUAAGGUGAUAUGAACCGUUACAGCCGGCGAUGUCCGAAUGGGGAAACCCAGUGCAAUUCGUUGCACUAUCGUUAACUGAAUACAUAGGUUAACGAGGCGAACCGGGGGAACUGAAACAUCUAAGUACCCCGAGGAAAAGAAAUCAACCGAGAUUCCCCCAGUAGCGGCGAGCGAACGGGGAGCAGCCCAGAGUCUGAAUCAGCUUGUGUGUUAGUGGAACGGUCUGGAAAGUCCGACGGUACAGGGUGAUAGUCCCGUACACCAAAAUGCACAGGUUGUGAACUCGAAGAGUAGGGCGGGACACGUGGUAUCCUGUCUGAAUAUGGGGGGACCAUCCUCCAAGGCUAAAUACUCCUGACUGACCGAUAGUGAACCAGUACCGUGAGGGAAAGGCGAAAAGAACCCCGGCGAGGGGAGUGAAAAAGAACCUGAAACCGUGUACGUACAAGCAGUGGGAGCACCUUCGGGUGUGACUGCGUACCUUUUGUAUAAUGGGUCAGCGACUUAUAUUCUGUAGCAAGGUUAACCGUAUAGGGGAGCCGCAGGGAAACCGAGUCUUAACUGGGCGUUAAGUUGCAGGGUAUAGACCCGAAACCCGGUGAUCUAGCCAUGGGCAGGUUGAAGGUUGGGUAACACUAACUGGAGGACCGAACCGACUAAUGUUGAAAAAUUAGCGGAUGACUUGUGGCUGGGGGUGAAAGGCCAAUCAAACCGGGAGAUAGCUGGUUCUCCCCGAAAGCUAUUUAGGUAGCGCCUCGUGAACUCAUCUUCGGGGGUAGAGCACUGUUUCGGCUAGGGGGUCAUCCCGACUUACCAACCCGAUGCAAACUACGAAUACCGAAGAAUGUUAUCACGGGAGACACACGGCGGGUGCUAACGUCCGUCGUGAAGAGGGAAACAACCCAGACCGCCAGCUAAGGUCCCAAAGUCAUGGUUAAGUGGGAAACGAUGUGGGAAGGCACAGACAGCCAGGAUGUUGGCUUAGAAGCAGCCAUCAUUUAAAGAAAGCGUAAUAGCUCACUGGUCGAGUCGGCCUGCGCGGAAGAUGUAACGGGGCUAAACCAUGCACCGAAGCUGCGGCAGCGACACUAUGUGUUGUUGGGUAGGGGAGCGUUCUGUAAGCCUGCGAAGGUGGCCUGUGAGGGUUGCUGGAGGUAUCAGAAGUGCGAAUGCUGACAUAAGUAACGAUAAAGCGGGUGAAAAGCCCGCUCGCCGGAAGACCAAGGGUUCCUGUCCAACGUUAAUCGGGGCAGGGUGAGUCGACCCCUAAGGCGAGGCCGAAAGGCGUAGUCGAUGGGAAACAGGUUAAUAUUCCUGUACUUGGUGUUACUGCGAAGGGGGGACGGAGAAGGCUAUGUUAGCCGGGCGACGGUUGUCCCGGUUUAAGCAUGUAGGCGGAGGUUCCAGGUAAAUCCGGUACCUUUUAACGCUGAGGUGUGAUGACGAGGCACUACGGUGCUGAAGUAACAAAUGCCCUGCUUCCAGGAAAAGCCUCUAAGCAUCAGGUAACAUCAAAUCGUACCCCAAACCGACACAGGUGGUCAGGUAGAGAAUACCAAGGCGCUUGAGAGAACUCGGGUGAAGGAACUAGGCAAAAUGGUGCCGUAACUUCGGGAGAAGGCACGCUGGUGUGUAGGUGAAGUCCCUGCGGAUGGAGCUGAGACCAGUCGAAGAUACCAGCUGGCUGCAACUGUUUAUUAAAAACACAGCACUGUGCAAACACGAAAGUGGACGUAUACGGUGUGACGCCUGCCCGGUGCCGGAAGGUUAAUUGAUGGGGUUAUCCGUAAGGAGAAGCUCUUGAUCGAAGCCCCGGUAAACGGCGGCCGUAACUAUAACGGUCCUAAGGUAGCGAAAUUCCUUGUCGGGUAAGUUCCGACCUGCACGAAUGGCGUAAUGAUGGCCAGGCUGUCUCCACCCGAGACUCAGUGAAAUUGAACUCGCUGUGAAGAUGCAGUGUACCCGCGGCAAGACGGAAAGACCCCGUGAACCUUUACUAUAGCUUGACACUGAACAUUGAGCCUUGAUGUGUAGGAUAGGUGGGAGGCUUUGAAGCGUGGACGCCAGUCUGCGUGGAGCCAACCUUGAAAUACCACCCUUUAAUGUUUGAUGUUCUAACGUUGGCCCCUUAUCGGGGUUGCGGACAGUGUCUGGUGGGUAGUUUGACUGGGGCGGUCUCCUCCCAAAGAGUAACGGAGGAGCACGAAGGUUAGCUAAUCCUGGUCGGACAUCAGGAGGUUAGUGCAAUGGCAUAAGCUAGCUUGACUGCGAGCGUGACGGCGCGAGCAGGUGCGAAAGCAGGUCAUAGUGAUCCGGUGGUUCUGAAUGGAAGGGCCAUCGCUCAACGGAUAAAAGGUACUCCGGGGAUAACAGGCUGAUACCGCCCAAGAGUUCAUAUCGACGGCGGUGUUUGGCACCUCGAUGUCGGCUCAUCACAUCCUGGGGCUGAAGUAGGUCCCAAGGGUAUGGCUGUUCGCCAUUUAAAGUGGUACGCGAGCUGGGUUUAGAACGUCGUGAGACAGUUCGGUCCCUAUCUGCCGUGGGCGCUGGAGAAUUGAGGGGGGCUGCUCCUAGUACGAGAGGACCGGAGUGGACGCAUCACUGGUGUUCGGGUUGUCAUGCCAAUGGCACUGCCCGGUAGCUAAAUGCGGAAGAGAUAAGUGCUGAAAGCAUCUAAGCACGAAACUUGCCCCGAGAUGAGUUCUCCCUGAGACUUUAAGUCUCCUGAAGGAACGUUGAAGACGACGACGUUGAUAGGCCGGGUGUGUAAGCGCAGCGAUGCGUUGAGCUAACCGGUACUAAUGAACCGUGAGGCUUAACCUU